UUGACUUAAACUUUCAAAAAAGCCAAAAAGAACUAACUCAUCCAAACCAUUUUCAGGCCUUUGUGCCUUUCAAACUUAAUUUUGUUAAAAACAACACACUCAUUUUGAAAUUUAUAGCACGAACUACGAGGUUUUGAUCCCUCAUUUAUAUGUUGGUACGUAGGCACAACCCAUCUUGGCCUAUUUAGGACCUUAGAAC
Molecule: long non-coding RNA, 199 nt
Filed under: Lathyrus oleraceus (garden pea)
Lineage: Eukaryota; Viridiplantae; Streptophyta; Magnoliopsida; Fabales; Fabaceae
Description: Pisum sativum (pea) long non-coding RNA (PSAT_LNC016463)
Source: RNAcentral